GCUGCUGCACCUAAACAAUUCUCAUCUUCUUCAACCUGCAAUGAGUUAAUUUGUUUUCAUUGCCAUCUUGUCCUUCACCAUAGUUAUUCUCUCUCCACGGAUUACUGUUCGACAAGUUGGUUGGCACAACAUGUGCAUGAGAGGAAAGAUCCACACCAUCACAGUUUAGUUGUUGACUGACAAAACUCAACAUAUGUUCGAUAUUGACUAUUAGAAGGACUCGAGCCUCGAAUCUCAGUAGACUUACUGAAUGAGCAAUGACAUCGGGAGGGAAGAAUUCAGCGGAUGUGCUUCUCUGCAACAAGGAGAAAGAACAGAAGAAAUGUUAUCCUGGCUGCUUCUAAAGCACUUCCAUAUAGCCAGUUAUACAGUGAAGUUGGUAAAGGCUUGAGAACAUGUCAACUGUGUACAAUCUAGUUAGAAAUUAAUGAAUGGUACAGAACAAUAAAAGGGAAAAUGAUGUACA
This is a long non-coding RNA of Callorhinchus milii (elephant shark), 466 nucleotides long. RefSeq lists it as uncharacterized. The record is from RefSeq and is a predicted model, not a curated record. The transcript has 3 exons. NCBI's taxonomy places the organism in Eukaryota, Metazoa, Chordata, Chondrichthyes, Chimaeriformes, Callorhinchidae.